AUGCAAGUUUAACUGUUUGAGUCUUUCCUCGUAUGGCAAGUUUCUCAACCCCUGAAUCAUCUUAGUCAUCCUCCUCUGCACCGAUUCUAACAUUUUGAUAUCCAUUCUAUAGUAAGGUGACCAGAACUGAACCGCAAAGUCAAGAUGAGGUCUAACUAAUGCUAAAUGAAAUAAUAGAAACAUAAUAAAAACAUA
Eriocheir sinensis (Chinese mitten crab) is the source of this 195-nucleotide long non-coding RNA. RefSeq lists it as uncharacterized. The record is from RefSeq and is a predicted model, not a curated record. The transcript is spliced from 2 exons. Lineage: Eukaryota; Metazoa; Arthropoda; Malacostraca; Decapoda; Varunidae.